GGAGGAGGCUGAGAGGAGACCUCAUUGCCCUUUACAUCUAACCGAAAGGAGGUUGCAGAGAGCUGGGGAUGAGUCUCUUUAACCAAAUAGUAAGUGAUAGGACAAGAGGGAAUGGCCUCAAGUUGCACCAGGGAAGGU
This is a long non-coding RNA of Athene cunicularia (burrowing owl), 138 nucleotides long. RefSeq lists it as uncharacterized. The record is from RefSeq and is a predicted model, not a curated record. Lineage: Eukaryota; Metazoa; Chordata; Aves; Strigiformes; Strigidae. The transcript is spliced from 3 exons.